This 1171-nucleotide ribosomal RNA is filed under the name Procryptocerus batesi. RNAcentral describes it as "eukaryotic LSU rRNA". It matches the Rfam family "Eukaryotic large subunit ribosomal RNA", at positions 54 to 906 of the family's 3401-position model. Lineage: Eukaryota; Metazoa; Arthropoda; Insecta; Hymenoptera; Formicidae. The record is from RNAcentral.
AGGAAAAGAAACUAACCAGGAUUUCCCUAGUAGCGGCGAGCGAACAGGAAAGAGCCCAGCACCGAAUCCCGCGGUUCCGCCGCAGGGAAAUGUGGUGUUUGGGAGGGUCCGCUUAUCCCGAGGCGUCGCGCCGCGUCCAAGUCCAUCUUGAAUGGGGCCACUUACCCGCAGAGGGUGCCAGGCCCGUAGCGACCGGUGCGCGUCUCGGGAGGAUCUCUCCUUAGAGUCGGGUUGCUUGAGAGUGCAGCUCUAAGUGGGUGGUAAACUCCAUCUAAGGCUAAAUACGACCACGAGACCGAUAGCGAACAAGUACCGUGAGGGAAAGUUGAAAAGAACUUUGAAGAGAGAGUUCAAGAGUACGUGAAACCGUUCAGGGGUAAACCUAAGAAACCCAAAAGAUCGAACGGGGAGAUUCAUCGUCAGCGACGCUGGCUUCGCGUCGGUGGGCGAUGUCCCGCGGGGCCUCGCGGCUCGCAGCGCGGACACGCUGCCGUGCGUCGAUGUCCGGCGUUCGUCGUCGUGCACUUCUCCCCUGGUAGAACGUCGCGACCCGCUGGGUGUCGGUCUACGGCCCGGGUGCGGUGACUGACGCGCCGCCGGUAAAACGGCGCGCGUCAAACCCUCGGUCGCCCGGCCGGCUGCCCGGCGGUACACGCAAGGUAUCAGGCCGCAUCUCAAUCACAGAGUGCGUCGAGGCCGUCGCAAGCGCGCGCCACGGUACACGGAGGCUAACGGACCUAGCGCCGUCACCGGUCCUGGCCCGCUGUUGGUCGUACGGUUAACCUUCGACAGGCCUACGAACCGUCCCCCCCCGGGGUUCGUCCUCGAGCGGGGACCGAUACCGGUCGGCGACGCUACUGCUUUGGGUACUCUUAGGACCCGUCUUGAAACACGGACCAAGGAGUCUAACAUGUACGCGAGUCAUUGGGACUAGCGAUACCUAAAGGCGUAAUGAAAGUGAAGGUCGGCCCUGGUUGUCGACCGAGGGAGGAUGGGCCGCGUCUCGACGCGGCUCCGCACUCCCGGGGCGUCUCGUUCUCAUCGCGAGAAGAGGCGCACCCAGAGCGUACACGUUGGGACCCGAAAGAUGGUGAACUAUGCCUGGUCAGGACGAAGUCAGGGGAAACCCUGAUGGAGGUCCGUAGCGAUUCUGACGUGCAAAUCGAUCGUC